AUGGAGGAGAUUCAGACCUUGUUGAUCAACGUUCUUCCCCUUCAUCAUCCUCAAGGCGACGACGAGCAAGUCAAUCAUCUUCGGUGCGCCCCCUACCUAAUCACGCCCUCAGCCUCACCGCGAUCUCAAAGCCUAGCUCGACGAACUCGCAACACAAGAGAUAUGAGAUUUAUACUGGUUCAGGCCACCGUUGUGGUGUGGUGGAUUGCCUCUUGGGCUGAGGAUGAACAGUACAAGGGGAAGAACAGCCUCCUGAGACGAGGUGUUCUUGUGCUUGGUGGGUGUGAGGAUGAUCUGAAUCUGUUCAAGAUGAGUUGA
This 318-nucleotide ribosomal RNA is filed under the name Triticum aestivum (bread wheat). RNAcentral describes it as "partial small subunit ribosomal RNA". Lineage: Eukaryota; Viridiplantae; Streptophyta; Magnoliopsida; Poales; Poaceae. The record is from RNAcentral.